This is a small nucleolar RNA of Ornithorhynchus anatinus (platypus), 138 nucleotides long. The record is from RefSeq and is a predicted model, not a curated record. Lineage: Eukaryota; Metazoa; Chordata; Mammalia; Monotremata; Ornithorhynchidae.
CCCCUCUCAGAGUCACACCUGGAGAGUUUCCAGUCCUCUACCAGUCUCGACCGUGGGAGGGACAGUCAAGCAGAGGCCUGUCCCUUGCAUUCCUAGCUUGGCCAGUGGCUAGUGAGUGGAAGACAAUCUGCUGCAAGU